RNAcentral lists this unclassified non-coding RNA (246 nucleotides) under Hevea brasiliensis (rubber tree). The record is from RNAcentral. Lineage: Eukaryota; Viridiplantae; Streptophyta; Magnoliopsida; Malpighiales; Euphorbiaceae.
AGGCCAUAGAGUACCCUAUCGCCUCAAUGUCGCCUUUCACCUUAAUAACAUUAGGCAAAACAAAUAAAUAAGAUCUCAUCCCAUGAAAGAAAUAAAUAAGAUCUCAUAUCUACUUACUUUUUUAGCGGAAAUUUUACAUUUCAAUUUAAGCAAUGUGGUUUAUAGUGCACAAAUUCUUUAGUUACUGCACCAAAAAGGGACUUUCUUGACUUCAUCUGCCAAAAUGUACUAAUUUCUCUUGUUCAG